ACAGCGUUUGGAUCGUCGGUCUACUGAGCAAUAUCACCCGCUCGGUGGAAGAUAUUCUCUUUGUCGU
RNAcentral lists this microRNA precursor (67 nucleotides) under Bombyx mori (domestic silkworm). RNAcentral's name for it is "mir-2774 microRNA precursor family". It matches the Rfam family "mir-2774 microRNA precursor family". Lineage: Eukaryota; Metazoa; Arthropoda; Insecta; Lepidoptera; Bombycidae. The record is from Rfam by way of RNAcentral.